CUGUUUCCCAAGGGAGUGUUCUUCUGGAGUUUGCUUCUGGAUUCCUCACUCUCUGCGAACCUUGUUUGUGGAUGCCCCUCAAAAAUGCAAUGCCCGGCAUUAGAUGCACAAGCCCAGGCAAUUAAAAUGAAGACUGUUUCCAUGCGGGCCCCCGUGAAAGGGAUUCCUGUGUAUCUCAAGCAACAAAGAGAGCUGUGGAGCAAGGAGAUUCCCUGUGUAAUCGGGAGCACUGGAUGUGAAUCCCAGGUCUGGCAUGGGAACCUUGGUGAGUGAUGCUGAGUGGAAUGUUACGUAUCACCAUCAUCAUCAGCAUCCAUCCCACCACCAUCAUCACAACCACCACCACCACCAUCAUCAUCAUCAUCAUCAUCAACAGCUUUUUCCAAGCAAGUCUGGAAUAAGAAGAGAAGUCGGAGGAUUUAGGCUUUGUACUUCCUGGCAGCCCCAGCCCCUGAGGCUCAUGCGAUCCUGCUCACCUUCUCUCCCUGACCCCGAACCCUAAGGGGCUCCCGCACUCCAGAUCGUAGCUGGCUCUUCUCUAUUCUUUUCCUUAUUCCAGCCAUUAGAGUCUUUUGGGACUGGCUUCUCAACCUUUGUCACAUUGGGCUUGAUAUUUUUAGUUUCUUUCAGUGGUAAAUAUUAGAUUAUUCAGAAAAAUUGUUGUCCCAGAUUUCCACACAUGAUGGUAUAGAUACAGAAUAUACACUUAUAAAAUAAGCAGAAAUGAUAUCUCAUGAACAUUUGCUAGAAUUGAAAUAGAAGAGGUGCAGGCAGCAUCCCCAUAGCUUAAAAAUGAUCUGCUAAGAUGUGGGCAUGACUUUUCCCCACAAAACUUGCCACUCAUUUGAUAUUAUAGUGCGGGGGAAUAGUCUUCCUGACAUUUUAGUGGUUGUUAUUGCUGUAUUUUUUUUUUAGGGCAUAUUUUUUUAAGGGGAGAAAAUGAAGAAUAUGUAAGGAAAAAAAUCAGUACUUAGCUGGGUUACCUUUUAUUCUUAGGACAUUUACUUGUUAGCAUUACAGUCUUAAAAUAGUCUUCUACCAAAUACAUUACCAACAGGCAUUUCCAAAAUGCUGAGAGUACUCUAUCUAGUCUCAAAUUCUCAAGUUCAAAAAAAUGGAAUGCCAGUUCCUCCAUGGGCUGACACAGCCUCAUUAUUAUGGCCAUAUUUAUUUACUUAUUUAUUGUAGUAAAAUAUACAUAAUAUAAAAUUCAUCAUUUAAACCAUUUUAAGCAUACAGUUCAGUGCCUUUAAGUACAUUCACAUUGUUAUAUAAUCAUCACUACUAUCCAUCUUCAAAACUUUUUUUAUCUUCUGCAAUGAAAACUAUGUACCCAUUUAAUAAUAAUUCCUAAUUACCCCUACCCUCUGCCCGUAGCCACCACCAUUCUACUUUGUGUCUCUAUGAAUUUAACUACUGUCAGUACCUUAUGUAAGUGGAUUAGCGCCAAAUUUGUCUUUUUGCGAUUGGCUUAGUCACUUAGCAUCAUGUCUUCCAGGUUCAGUCAUAUUGCGGCAUAUGUCAGGAUUUUCUUCCCUUUAGGGUAACACUUAUUGAGCUCUUACUGCCUACCAGGCCUUGUGCUAUGCGCUUCAACAGACCUCACAAUCACCCUAUGAGGUAGGGAGUCUCACUAACUCCAUUUCACAGAUGAAGAAACUGAAGACAGGAAUGUUUAGAAAGCUGCCUGAUAUGGUUUAGCUCUG
RNAcentral lists this long non-coding RNA (1706 nucleotides) under Homo sapiens (human). RNAcentral describes it as "HSALNT0382865". Lineage: Eukaryota; Metazoa; Chordata; Mammalia; Primates; Hominidae. The record is from RNAcentral.